Molecule: transfer RNA, 73 nt
Filed under: Loxodonta africana (African savanna elephant)
Lineage: Eukaryota; Metazoa; Chordata; Mammalia; Proboscidea; Elephantidae
Rfam family: tRNA
About the family: Transfer RNA (tRNA) molecules are approximately 80 nucleotides in length. Their secondary structure includes four short double-helical elements and three loops (D, anti-codon, and T loops). Further hydrogen bonds mediate the characteristic L-shaped molecular structure. tRNAs have two regions of fundamental functional importance: the anti-codon, which is responsible for specific mRNA codon recognition, and the 3' end, to which the tRNAs corresponding amino acid is attached (by aminoacyl-tRNA synthetases). tRNAs cope with the degeneracy of the genetic code in two manners: having more than one tRNA (with a specific anti-codon) for a particular amino acid; and 'wobble' base-pairing, i.e. permitting non-standard base-pairing at the 3rd anti-codon position.
Source: Rfam by way of RNAcentral
GUCUGAAUUGCUCAGUUGAUAGAGUAUCAGACUUUCAAUAUGAGAGUUUAGGGUUCACCUUCCUAUUGAGGUG